This 3027-nucleotide long non-coding RNA is filed under the name Homo sapiens (human). RNAcentral describes it as "HSALNT0343883". Lineage: Eukaryota; Metazoa; Chordata; Mammalia; Primates; Hominidae. The record is from RNAcentral.
AAAAAGACAAGAAAACAACUAUACCAAAAUUGGCUACGAAUCAGGUGCAAGGGCACAUAAAAGAAGCAGCAAUUAUUUCUGAUCAAAGGAUUAGAGAAGAAUGUGCACAGAAGGUGACACAGAAACUCAGCUUAGAAAAAUGUAUAUUUGCGGGGAGAUAAAGGGGAAGGUAUUACAAUGUGAGGCUGUAUAAGAUUCCAAAGCACAGAGAUAUGAAUGUGAAAGGCUUAAUUUGAGAAAGACAAAAUGUUCAUAGUGACUGAAACUUGUUAGCAGAACUUGCAUAGUGCUAGCUCUAAAGAGAAGUUUGGGCUCGGUUUAGAGGGACUUUGGCUGCCAUACUAGGGAGUUUGGAUUCCAUUCUACAGUGUGGAGGAAGAUUUUUUAAAAGCACCAUUUAGUAAACACUGUGGUUGCCUCCUCAACAUCUAUUCCCUACACUACCCCUAUUGUCCUUUCUAACCAAAUCCAUUUUUUUUUUAAAUCAGAUAAUCCACCUCUCCUUUAUGAGAUUCAGGGGACAAUGAAUUCAUCUCCAUUUCCAAGGAUAGAUCUGUAUUAGCUUAAAUCAGGCAGGCUAACUCAUACUUCUUGUGCUUCCAUGACAGACUCUUUCUGGGUUAUACGUAAUAAAUAUACAUAAACAAUAUUAUACUUCAUUGUCCAGCAUAUACAAGAGGCAAACACAAAUCAGAAAUAUUAUCUUUACCAGUGGUACAUGAGUCCAUUUUUUGUCAAAUAGAGAGCAAUUGCUGCAGUAAUUGCAGUUUAUCACUAAGCCAGAUGCAGGGGUUACUCAUACAUAUGCCUUCUAAUUGUGGGCUACUAUUAAUAGUCACUGGCCUCCUUCUUAAAUUAUUUUCAGUCAUGAGCUUAACUUAAUGUGGUACCAUAUAUUCUUUCUUUUAAGGACCUUAAGAAUCUGGGAAGAAUUAGCCACACUCUAAUUUAGGAACAGAGAUGGAUGAAUCCACCUAUGGACAUUUACUGGUCGGCUCCAAGGCUACACAAGCAGCAAGAAGAAAAGGAAAAACUCUGUUUUAUUAAAGCUCCACUUGCCUAUCUACCUUGGUGGAGGGUCAAGAAAAGGUUUAUAACCUAUUUGCAGGUUUUAGGCUCCUGUUUGCAGCACAGAAACCACAGACAAUAGAAAUUCAGACUCAGUGGUGUGGCAGAAGAUAAAAUAAUUUGGGUUAUUUCUGUGAUAACAUGGGCAAUCUGGAAACUACUCCCAUUUGUGAGGGUAAAUCUCUAUUAUGAUACAUGGAAAAUAGGACAGAUGCUAAUUCAGGUAAGAAAAGGUCUUUGUAUUAUACAAAUAUUUACCUUCAGACAGAAAUGUUAAUGAAGAUGGAGAAGGAACAGUUACCAAGAAACUAGGGAUAGUAGGACACAAAAAACCUGGUAACCUGGUAGUGAGUAUGAACCAGUCUGGUGCCUUGCCUCCAGAGGAGCAGCAACUGAGCAGAGCUACUGGACAACCAGCCCUGCACUUCCCUAGAGCACAGACCAGCUCACUAUGCAGCCACCAAGAGAUAAGCACCGAAGGAGAACCUACCAGCCAUGGAUCCUCAGAAAACAGACCAGCUAAGUGCCCAGCCUUCAGGGGACAAGCAGCUGAGUGGGCAUACCAGCCACACAAACUUCUGCAGCCAAGGCCACUGAGGUACUUGCAGGCACCACUGACAUUAACUACAGCUAAAGAAGCUGCAUGGAGACUACACUACUGCAUCCACCCAGAACAAAAACAAAUGUACCUUACCCAACCAACAUGCUAGGACACAUCUGCAGGUGUAAGUCUUUUCCGCUGAAAGUUAUGCUACCAAGUUAGAAAAGGUGAUUAUUCCAUCAGAUGCACAGAUGCCAGUGCAGGGAUACAAGAAACAUAAAAAAGCAAGGGAACAUGACACCACCAAAGAAACACAAUAAUUCUCUAGUAACUGACCCCAAUAAAAAAAUAAAAAUUUAUGAAUUGCCUGAAAAGGAAUUCAAGAUAGUGAGCCUAAGGAAACUUGGUGAGACAUGAAAGAACACAAACGGAUCAUUCAACAAUCGGGAAAAACAGUUCAUGAUCUGAAUGAGAAAUUCAACAAAGAGAGAGAUAUCAUAAAAAAGAACAAAAUAGAAAUCUUGGGGCCAAGAAAUUCAAUGAAUGAAAUAAAAAAACGCAAUUGAGAGCUUCAACAGCAAAAUAGAUCAAACAGAAGAAUUUUUGAACUUGAAAACAGGCCUUUUGAAAUAGUCCAGUCAGAGGUAAAGAAAAAAAAAAAGGAAUGAAGAAGCCUAUGGCAUUUAUGGGACACCAUAAGUGAACAAAUGUUUGCAUUUUGGCAACUUAAGAAGAAGAGAUGAAGAAAGGCAAAGAAAGCUUAUUUAACAAAGUAAUAGUUGAAAACUUCCCAAGUCUUGGGGAGAUAUGGACAUCCAGAUCCAUGAAGUUCAAAGGAUCCCACAAAGAUUCAACUCAAAGAGGUCCUCUCUGAGGCAUAUAACCAAACUGUCAAAAGUCAAAGACAAAGAAAAAAAUACUAAAAGCAGCAUGAGAAAAACAUCAAGUCACAUAUAAGGGAAUUGCCAUUGGACUAUUAGCAGAUUUCCCAGCAGCAACCUUGCAGGCCAGGAGAGAAUGGGAUGAUAUAUUUAAAAUACUAGAAGAAAAAAAGCUGCUAGCCUAGAAUACUAUACCAGCAAAUCUUUGCUUCAGAAAUGAAGGAGAAAUAGUCUUUCCCAGAUCAGCAAAAGUUGAGGGAACUCAUUACCACUGGACCAGACUUACAAGAAAUGCUUGAGUAUUUCUAUUGGAAAAAAAAGUUUUCAUGAUAAUUGCUACCAUAAAAAAACAUGAAGUAUAAAUCUCACUGCUGGAGAUAAAUGCAUUAUCAAAUUCAUAAUGCUUCAUUACUGCAAUGGUGAUAUGUAAUGUUUCAAACCUCUAGUAUGAAGGUUAAAGGCCAAAACAGCUGGGUGCUGUGGCAUGUGCUUGUAGUCCCAGUUAUUUAGGAGGCUGAAAUGGAAGGCUCAUUUGAG